AUACGUAGGGGGCGAGCGUUGUCCGGAAUGAUUGGGCGUAAAGGGCGCGUAGGCGGCCCGGUAAGUCUGGAGUGAAAGUCCUGUUUUUAAGAUGGGAAUUGCUUUGGAUACUGUCGGGCUUGAGUGCAGGAGAGGUAAGUGGAAUUCCCAAUGUAGCGGUGAAUGCGUAGAGAUUGGGAGGAACACCAGUGGCGAAGGCGACUUACUGGACUGUAACUGACGCUGAGGCGCGAAAGUGUGGGGAGCAAACAGGAUUAGAUACCCUGGUAGUCCACACUGUAAACGAUGAAUGCUAGGUGUAGGGUGUAUCGACCCCUUCUGUGCCGCAGUCAACACAAUAAGCAUUCCGCCUGGGGAGUACGGCCGCAAGGUUGAAACUCAAAUGAAUUGACGGGG
This 396-nucleotide ribosomal RNA is filed under the name uncultured bacterium. Its description in RNAcentral is "partial 16S ribosomal RNA". It matches the Rfam family "Bacterial small subunit ribosomal RNA", at positions 523 to 918 of the family's 1533-position model. The record is from RNAcentral.